GACGAACGCUGGCGGCGCGCUUAACACAUGCAAGUCGAACGCGAACGGGGCUUCGGCCCUUAUUAGAGUGGCGCACGGGUGAGUAACGCGUAGACAACCUGCCCUUAGUCCGGGACAACCCGCCGAAAGGCGGGCUAAUACCGGAUACGACCUUGGGUCUAGUGACCUCAAGGUGGAAAGACUCGUCGCUAGGGGAUGGGUCUGCGUGACAUUAGUUAGUUGGUGGGGUAACGGCUCACCAAGACGACGAUGUCUAGCGGGUCUGAGAGGACGACCCGCCACACUGGAACUGAGACACGGUCCAG
This 305-nucleotide ribosomal RNA is filed under the name uncultured bacterium. RNAcentral's name for it is "bacterial SSU rRNA". It matches the Rfam family "Bacterial small subunit ribosomal RNA", at positions 28 to 334 of the family's 1533-position model. The record is from RNAcentral.